GCGGCCAUGGUGAAACUGGUAGACACGCAGCACUAAGGAUGCUGUGGAGCAAUCCUUGGGGGUUCAAGUCCCCCUGGCCGCACCA
Molecule: transfer RNA, 85 nt
Filed under: Alphaproteobacteria bacterium
Lineage: Bacteria; Pseudomonadati; Pseudomonadota; Alphaproteobacteria
Description: tRNA-Leu
Rfam family: tRNA
About the family: Transfer RNA (tRNA) molecules are approximately 80 nucleotides in length. Their secondary structure includes four short double-helical elements and three loops (D, anti-codon, and T loops).
Source: RNAcentral